This 250-nucleotide ribosomal RNA is filed under the name Escherichia coli. RNAcentral's name for it is "partial 16S ribosomal RNA". It matches the Rfam family "Bacterial small subunit ribosomal RNA", at positions 173 to 427 of the family's 1533-position model. The record is from RNAcentral. Lineage: Bacteria; Pseudomonadati; Pseudomonadota; Gammaproteobacteria; Enterobacterales; Enterobacteriaceae.
AACGUCGCAAGACCAAAGAGGGGGACCUUCGGGCCUCUUGCCAUCGGAUGUGCCCAGAUGGGAUUAGCUAGUAGGUGGGGUAAAGGCUCACCUAGGCGACGAUCCCUAGCUGGUCUGAGAGGAUGACCAGCCACACUGGAACUGAGACACGGUCCAGACUCCUACGGGAGGCAGCAGUGGGGAAUAUUGCACAAUGGGCGCAAGCCUGAUGCAGCCAUGCCGCGUGUAUGAAGAAGGCCUUCGGGUUGUA